GCCGGUGUAGCUCAGUUGUUAGAGCAGCGCACUCGUAACGCGAAGGUCGCAGGUUCGACUCCUGUCUCCGGCA
This 73-nucleotide transfer RNA is filed under the name Pseudomonas guineae. It matches the Rfam family "tRNA". From Rfam's summary of the family: Transfer RNA (tRNA) molecules are approximately 80 nucleotides in length. The record is from Rfam by way of RNAcentral. Lineage: Bacteria; Pseudomonadati; Pseudomonadota; Gammaproteobacteria; Pseudomonadales; Pseudomonadaceae.